UAUAUAUUUACAUCUAGAAGAGGAAAGUCGUAACAAGGUAAGUCUACCGGAAGGUGGCCUUGGAA
RNAcentral lists this ribosomal RNA (65 nucleotides) under Parvimolge townsendi (Townsend's dwarf salamander). RNAcentral describes it as "partial 12S ribosomal RNA". Lineage: Eukaryota; Metazoa; Chordata; Amphibia; Caudata; Plethodontidae. The record is from RNAcentral.